Molecule: ribosomal RNA, 460 nt
Filed under: uncultured bacterium
Lineage: Bacteria
Description: partial 16S ribosomal RNA
Rfam family: Bacterial small subunit ribosomal RNA
Source: RNAcentral
CCUACGGGGGGCAGCAGUGAGGAAUAUUGGUCAAUGGCCGGAAGGCUGAACCAGCCAUGCCGCGUGAAGGUCAGUGCCCUAUGGGCGUUAAACUUCUUUUGUGCGGGAGCAAUAAUGGUCACGUGUGGCCAGACGAGAGUGCCGUACGAAUAAGCAUCGGCUAACUCCGUGCCAGCAGCCGCGGUAAUACGGGGGAUGCAGGCGUUAUCCGGAUUUAUUGGGUUUUAAGGGUGCGUAGGCUGGGAGGUAAGUCAGCGGUGAAAUGCCCCCGCUCAACGGGGUGAAGUGCCAUUGAUACUGGCUGGCUUGAAUGCGGAUGCCGUGGGAGGAAUGUGUGGUGUAGCGGUGAAAUGCAUAGAUAUCACACAGAACCCCGAUUGCGAAGGCAUCUCACGAAUCCGCGAUUGACGCUGAUGCACGAAAGCGUGGGUAUCAAACAGGAUUAGAUACCCUGGUAGUC